GCAGUCUUGUUUAAGCUUAGAUUUAAUAUCAUGCUGUCACUGCAGGCAAGCUUUGUUCCCUAGCAAUGAGAUGUCUACAUAUUAUGGAUGCACGACUCCCUCAGAGAACAGCCAGAUUACGGGAUUACUCUAAGGAAAAUUUCGCAACAACAUUUAAUUCCUUCCUGAUGAAGUGAUUUUCCACAACACUUUGCUAUAGCGUAUUGGCAGAUGAAGAGAGAAUGGGGGACAAAAUGCAUUUGCUAAUCAUACACAAUAAUGAUAAAUACAAAGCCCGUUGUCCUGCUGAGGGAAUCCAACCCGCUGGAUAACAUAUAAAGCCAUGUGAGGUCUGUGAGAUGCCUCCUAUAAGCAGAGUAAGAGCAGCCUGCGUCUCUUAGAAAGGUCAUCACAGAAAGAUUUGGGCCCACAACUGUUCAAGCCACAGUGACAAGUGAAAUGCUUAUCAAGUAGAUCUUGAAAUAUACCAGGUUCCCCAGUCCAUCUAAACAGUGUGCAGAGCGAGGAGAGCAGGGCUACAGGGAAGAGCGGGAUCACCAAGCCUCCAUUACAGGCAAUCUCAGGCGAGCGGCCUGGCAGCCCCAUGCUGUGAGGAACCUGGGCCUGCUCGGCUGGGAUUCCUCCAUGUGAGGGGCUGGGGUAGCAGUGCUGGGAGCUGCUCUGAGGGCAGGGAGUGCUUGGGACAGGAAAGAAAAAGGCCCUGUGCAUUUGCAGGCUCCUGAUCCUACUGAAGGAGGGGACUGCAGCAGGGGUCAGGAUUUGGCAGAGGAUUAGUGUGAGAAGUGUCUACCUCCAGUCAUGGCCAGGCAUCAAGUCCUCCUUUCACAAGGAAGUGUCAAAUAUUGGGAUCCCUGUGACACUGGAGACUAUUCUCAUGUCCCACUGACAUUAAAGCUCCCUCUGAGGACAAAAACAAGAUUCUGCUGCCCCUGACUACUGAGGAUCCCCUCUACAAGUCCAGCAUAGUAUGAAGUGUAAUAAGCAAAUAGCAAAAAUGGAGAGGAAAUGGAAGAAGGGAAGUGUUCCACAGAGAGAAACAUAUUACAAACAGCAGAGGAUCGUCCAAGCAUGCUCUCUGCUGUGCUUCAGGAAAACAACUCAUUUACCAGAUGUUUCAAAUUGUGUGUAAAAUAUAAAAGAGCAUACUGGGGAAAAUGUAUUUAAUACUAGAAUCUUUGUCUCUCUAUUGCAAGAACACAAUAUGCAAAAUGUGAGCUAGCU
This 1221-nucleotide long non-coding RNA is filed under the name Numida meleagris (helmeted guineafowl). Its description in RNAcentral is "lncRNA (ENSNMEG00000010704.1)". The record is from RNAcentral. Lineage: Eukaryota; Metazoa; Chordata; Aves; Galliformes; Numididae.